Molecule: ribosomal RNA, 440 nt
Filed under: uncultured bacterium
Lineage: Bacteria
Description: partial 16S ribosomal RNA
Rfam family: Bacterial small subunit ribosomal RNA
Source: RNAcentral
CCUACGGGUGGCAGCAGUAGGGAAUUUUGCGCAAUGGGCGAAAGCCUGACGCAGCAACGCCGCGUGAUCGAGACGCCCUUCGGGGUGUAAAGAUCUGUCAGUGGGGACGAAACUUGACGGUACCCACAGAGGAAGCACCGGCUAACUCCGUGCCAGCAGCCGCGGUAAUGCGGGGGGUUCAAGCGUGAUCCGGAAUCAUUGGGCGUAAAGAGUUCGUAGGCGGCACGUAAAGUCUGGUGUUAAAGUCCGAGGCUCAACUUCGGUACGGCCCUGGAUACUUGCGAGAUAGAGUGCGGUAGAGGUAAAGGGAAUUCCUGGUGUAGCGGUGAAAUGCUUAGAUAUCAGGAGGAACAUCGGUGGCGUAAGCGCUUUACUGGGCCGUAAUUGACGCUGAGGAACGAAAGCCAGGGUAGCAAAUGGGAUUAGAUACCCCUGUAGUC